RNAcentral lists this long non-coding RNA (1302 nucleotides) under Cyanistes caeruleus (blue tit). RNAcentral's name for it is "lncRNA (ENSCCEG00000017978.1)". Lineage: Eukaryota; Metazoa; Chordata; Aves; Passeriformes; Paridae. The record is from RNAcentral.
AUGUUCCUUAGACCAACCCAAUGUUCCUUAGACCAACCCAAGGUUCCUUGGACCAACCUGAGGUUCCUUGGAUCAACCCAACCUUCCUUGGACCAACCAAAGGUUCUUUGGACCAACCUGAGGUUCCUUGGACCAACCCAACCUUCCUUGGACCAACCCAACCUUCCUUGGACCACCCCAACCUUUCUUGGACCAACUCAAGUUUCCUCAGACCUUCUGGAGAAGGUGGCACUGUUUGGUCCAGGUCAACUUGUAGCCAUCUUGGGGCUCUCCAGUUCAGCAAGACUUGGUCUUCGUCAACCAGACCUUCCAUGGACCAACUCAACCCUCCUUGGACCUUCUUUGGACCAACCCAAGGUUCUUUGGACCAACCCAAGGUUCUUUGGACCAACCCAAGGUUCUUUGGACCAACCCAACGUUCCUUGGACCAACCCAACGUUCCUUGGACCAACCCAAGGUUCCUUAAACCAACCUGAGGUUCCUUGGACCAACCUGAGGUUCCUCAGACCUUCUGGAGAAGGUGGCACUGUUUGGUCCAGGUCAACUUGGAGCCAUCUUGGGGCUCUCCAGUUCAGCAAGACUUGGUCCAGGUCAACCAGACCUUCCAUGGACCAACUCAACCCUCCUUGGACCUUCUUUGGACCAACCAAAGGUUCUUUGGACCAACCCAAGGUUCUUUGGACCAACCCAAGGUUCUUUGGACCAACCCAACGUUCCUUGGACCAACCCAACGUUCCUUGGACCAACACAAUGUUCCUUGGACCAACCCAACCUUUCUUGGACCACCCCAACCUUUCUUGGACCAACUCAAGGUUCCUCAGACCUUCUGGAGAAGGUGGCACUGUUUGGUCCAGGUCAACUUGGAGCCAUCUUGGGGCUCUCCAGUUCAGCAAGACUUGGUCUUUGUCAACCAGGCUUUCCAUGGACCAACUCAACCCUCCUUGGACCUUCUUUGGACCAACCCAAGGUUCCUUGGACCAACCCAAGGUUCUUUGGACCAACCCAAGGUUCUUUGGACCAACCCAACCUUCCUUGGACCAACCCAACCUUCUCUUGGACCACCCCAACCUUUCUUGGACCAACUCAAGGUUCCUCAGACCUUCUGGAGAAGGUGGCACUGUUUGGUCCAGGUCAACUUGGAGCCAUCUUGGGGCUCUCCAGUUCAGCAAGACUUGGUCUUUGUCAACCAGACCUUCCAUGGACCAACUCAACCCUCCUUGGACCUUCUUUGGACCAACCCAAGGUUCUUUGGACCAACCCAAGGUUCUUUGGACCAACUCAACAUUCCUUGGUCCAACCUAA